RNAcentral lists this ribosomal RNA (497 nucleotides) under uncultured bacterium. RNAcentral's name for it is "partial 16S ribosomal RNA". It matches the Rfam family "Bacterial small subunit ribosomal RNA", at positions 28 to 507 of the family's 1533-position model. The record is from RNAcentral.
GAUGAACGCUGGCGGCGUGCCUAAUACAUGCAAGUCGAGCGAACAGACGAGGGGCUUGCUCCUCUGACGUUAGCGGCGGACGGGUGAGUAACACGUGGAUAACCUACCUAUAAGACUGGGAUAACUUCGGGAAACCGGAGCUAAUACCGGAUAACAUGUUGAACCGCAUGGUUUAACAGUGAAAGACGGUCUUGCUGUCACUUAUAGAUGGAUCCGCGCCGCAUUAGCUAGUUGGUAAGGUAACGGCUUACCAAGGCAACGAUGCGUAGCCGACCUGAGAGGGUGAUCGGCCACACUGGAACUGAGACACGGUCCAGACUCCUACGGGAGGCAGCAGUAGGGAAUCUUCCGCAAUGGGCGAAAGCCUGACGGAGCAACGCCGCGUGAGUGAAGAAGGUCUUCGGAUCGUAAAACUCUGUUAUUAGGGAAGAACAAAUGUGUAAGUAACUAUGCACGUCUUGACGGUACCUAAUCAGAAAGCCACGGCUAACUACGUG